Gossypium arboreum is the source of this 439-nucleotide long non-coding RNA. RefSeq lists it as uncharacterized. The record is from RefSeq and is a predicted model, not a curated record. The transcript is spliced from 3 exons. NCBI's taxonomy places the organism in Eukaryota, Viridiplantae, Streptophyta, Magnoliopsida, Malvales, Malvaceae.
GAAGAUGGUGAUAAAAACAAAGUUACACUCAUCCUUUCUUGCAUUUUUGCCGAAAACCAUAAAGAAAAGAAAAUGGAAAUGAAGCUAAGGCAUUCGGCUAUGGUGAAUGUAUAGAUUAAGCUUAAGAGCAAAGAGGAUCAAAGUCGAAUAGGGGAAAAGAGAAAGUAAACGAAUAGCAGUGGAUAUCUAGUCGUCGACCACUUCCGAGAUCUCAUUUCGAAGCUACAGGCUCGGGGAUCGUCAGCAACUAGUCACACUAUCACUAUCCACUGCUUGUUACUGUUAUGUUUUGAAUUAUUUUAUGGCAUGUAUAGAAUAGACCAAAGGGUCGAAGAAUAUUUUAGUUAAUGUAUAUAAGUCAUGCAAAAAUGGCAUCUUUUGAAUGUGUACUUAUAGAAGUUUAAAUUGUAUCCCUGACCGUCUUUAGUACUUAUCUAAA